RNAcentral lists this ribosomal RNA (169 nucleotides) under uncultured bacterium. RNAcentral describes it as "partial 16S ribosomal RNA". It matches the Rfam family "Bacterial small subunit ribosomal RNA", at positions 338 to 524 of the family's 1533-position model. The record is from RNAcentral.
CCUACGGGAGGCAGCAGUGGGGAAUCUUAGACAAUGGGCGCAAGCCUGAUCUAGCCAUGCCGCGUGAGCGAUGAAGGCCUUAGGGUUGUAAAGCUCUUUCACCGAUGAAGAUAAUGACGGUAGUCGGAGAAGAAGCCCCGGUUAACUUCGUGCCAGCAGCCGCGGUAAU